UGCGUGGUAGUGAAACGGAUAUAUAGAUCACGUUGGCCUCAUAAGCCGAAGAUUGUGGGUUCGAUUCCCACUCACGCAUCCA
Molecule: transfer RNA, 82 nt
Filed under: Proteus phage Mydo
Lineage: Duplodnaviria; Heunggongvirae; Uroviricota; Caudoviricetes
Also listed under: 3 other names
Description: tRNA-Ala
Rfam family: tRNA
About the family: Transfer RNA (tRNA) molecules are approximately 80 nucleotides in length.
Source: RNAcentral